Long non-coding RNA from Mauremys mutica (yellowpond turtle), 1386 nucleotides. RefSeq lists it as uncharacterized. The record is from RefSeq and is a predicted model, not a curated record. Lineage: Eukaryota; Metazoa; Chordata; Testudines; Geoemydidae. The transcript has 3 exons.
GGUAAUAAUGCUGAUGAGUUUUGAAAUUGAAGAGAAGAGAAGAAUAAGCAUAGGGAUAGGAGCUAAAUAGGAAAAAAAGAAAAUUUGAGGUUUUGGGGGGUACUGACUCCAGAGCUUUGUAUCAAAUAACUUUCAUCAACUUCAAUUCAUGCUGAGGACAGGAUUGGACCCAAGGUGUCUCCUCCUCUGCCUCCCCCACCCCCUGGAAUUAACACUGAUAAUAUGAAUAGCAGAGCAACAAAGCAAGAAACCUUACUUCCUCUAGACACAGAUUCACUACCGAGAAAAACAGAAGAGUGGUAAUACAAAACAAAGAAUUCACUGAUUUUAAUAUGAUAUUUUCUGAAAACUAGGGACAUACACCAAAAUUUUCCAAAGUGGGUACACGGAUGGGAUGUAUGAGCCUCACAUUGGUGAACUAGGGGUUUCAGAAUAGCUUUAGGGCCAGAAGGCCCCACCCAGCUGUACCUGCUGGGAAUGAUCACACUGGAGGUGGGGUUCAAAAGGGAGCAUCUGAGGUCAGUCUGGGUGGACAGAGCAAAGGGUGGAGGCAGUUGUGUGCUGCAGGCUCCUGCAGAGAAACUGCCAGGACUUGUCCCCAUGCUGAGCCACCACUGGCCUUUCACCCCAUGUACACUGGGAAUGACGGACCACCACUGAUAGAGGAAGACCUUCCAGAACUCCAGCAGGAAUCCAGGAACAGACUAGUGGCACUGACAGAGGAACCAAAGCCGGCAUAGGAAGUGGCACAUGGAACAGGUGUAAGGGAGUCCCUUGAUCACAUAUGUGAGCUAUUAUUCACAGGGUCCUAGAUUGGAACCUGGUGGAGCAGAAAGGGCCCAGGUUCCCCAGUGCAGGCCACUGACUCUUACCACUGGGCAAUAUGGCCACUGGCUGUAGCCACUGGGUGAUACUGCCAAGUUUGGAGUUCAGCCCCCUAACAGGUACCUAAAUCUAUUGAUUUAACUGGAAGAUAUGGGUAUUGAGCUCCUCUGAAAAUCAUGCCAUUUAUUAGGAUGUCUAAAUAUGGACUUAGAUGCCCAAAUUUAGACUUUCACUUCUGACCACAGUGGAUUUUUUAAAAUUGGACACUUAAGGAGAAAUGUAUCUAGCAGGGGGGAACUGCAAUAGACUCAUAAGGCAGAGAAACCAUUUCAAUUCCACUGUUGGGAAGAGAGUGAGCACAGAGAUUCUAUUCAGGGAGAUUUUUUUAAUCCCCUGAAAGCCAUACAGCUGAUACACUGAAUGGAAUACCUAGUUUAUGGAGAAAAGGUUAUGGCUGAUUCCUAGAGGUGAUAAUGUGUUGCACUGAGAACUGUGUUGGACUUACAUGUUAGAACUUUAAGAAUGGGGAGACAAGGAAUGUUCCUGGUCCUUCUUGCAGGC